RNAcentral lists this ribosomal RNA (468 nucleotides) under uncultured bacterium. RNAcentral describes it as "partial 16S ribosomal RNA". It matches the Rfam family "Bacterial small subunit ribosomal RNA", at positions 28 to 507 of the family's 1533-position model. The record is from RNAcentral.
GACGAACGCUGGCGGCGUGCUUAACACAUGCAAGUCGAACGGAAAGGCCCUGCUUUUGUGGGGUGCUCGAGUGGCGAACGGGUGAGUAACACGUGAGUAACCUGCCCUUGCCUUUGGGAUAACUUCAGGAAACUGGGGCUAAUACCGGAUAGGAGCUCCUGCUGCAUGUUGGGGGUUGGAAAUUUUCGGCGGUUGGGGAUGGAAUCGCGGCUUAUCAGCUUGUUGGUGGGGUAGUGGCUUACUAAGGCUUUGACGGGUAGCCGGCCUGAGAGGGUGACCGGCCACAUUGGGACUGAGAUACGGCCCAGACUCCUACGGGAGGCAGCAGUGGGGAAUAUUGCACAAUGGGCGGAAGCCUGAUGCAGCAACGCCGCGUGCGGGAUGACGGCCUUCGGGUUGUAAACCGCUUUCGCCUGUGACGAAGCGUGAGUGACGGUAAUGGGUAAAGAAGCACCGGCUAACUACGUG